Molecule: ribosomal RNA, 755 nt
Filed under: Salmonella enterica
Lineage: Bacteria; Pseudomonadati; Pseudomonadota; Gammaproteobacteria; Enterobacterales; Enterobacteriaceae
Description: partial 23S ribosomal RNA
Rfam family: Bacterial large subunit ribosomal RNA
Source: RNAcentral
GGGUUGUGAGGUUAAGCGACUAAGCGUACACGGUGGAUGCCCUGGCAGUCAGAGGCGAUGAAGGGCGUGCUAAUCUGCGAUAAGCGCCGGUAAGGUGAUAUGAACCGUUAUAACCGGCGAUACCCGAAUGGGGAAACCCAGUGUGAUUCGUCACACUAUCAUUAACUGAAUCCAUAGGUUAAUGAGGCGAACCGGGGGAACUGAAACAUCUAAGUACCCCGAGGAAAAGAAAUCAACCGAGAUUCCCCCAGUAGCGGCGAGCGAACGGGGAGGAGCCCAGAGCCUGAAUCAGCAUGUGUGUUAGUGGAAGCGUCUGGAAAGGCGCGCGAUACAGGGUGACAGCCCCGUACACAAAAGCGCAUAUGCUGUGAGCUCGAUGAGUAGGGCGGGACACGUGGUAUCCUGUCUGAAUAUGGGGGGACCAUCCUCCAAGGCUAAAUACUCCUGACUGACCGAUAGUGAACCAGUACCGUGAGGGAAAGGCGAAAAGAACCCCGGCGAGGGGAGUGAAAAAGAACCUGAAACCGUGUACGUACAAGCAGUGGGAGCCCCACCACUAAGCCAGUGGUGAACUCCACAUACGCAUCCUUUGCUGAGGAUACGGUUAACGGAGCGAAAGCGACGUUCAACCUCAAAAGAAGCAGAGGGGGCUUAGUGGUGGGGUGACUGCGUACCUUUUGUAUAAUGGGUCAGCGACUUAUAUUCUGUAGCAAGGUUAACCGAAUAGGGGAGCCGGAGGGAAACCGAGUCUUAAC